UGCCAGCAGCCGCUGUAUUACUGAUUGGGUUACCGUUGUUCGGAAUUACUGGGCGUAAAGCGCGCGUAGGCGGACUAGUCAGUCAGAGGUGAAAUCCCAGGGCUCAACCCUGGAACUGCCUUUGAUACUGCUAGUCUUGAGUUCGAGAGAGGUAAGUGGAAUUCCGAGUGUAGAGGUGAAAUUCGUAGAUAUUCGGAGGAACACCAGUGGCGAAGGCGACUUACUGGCUCGAUACUGACGCUGAGGUGCGAGAGUGUGGGGAGCAAACAGGAUUAGAUA
RNAcentral lists this ribosomal RNA (279 nucleotides) under uncultured bacterium. Its description in RNAcentral is "partial 16S ribosomal RNA". It matches the Rfam family "Bacterial small subunit ribosomal RNA", at positions 506 to 784 of the family's 1533-position model. The record is from RNAcentral.